This 460-nucleotide ribosomal RNA is filed under the name uncultured bacterium. Its description in RNAcentral is "partial 16S ribosomal RNA". It matches the Rfam family "Bacterial small subunit ribosomal RNA", at positions 338 to 795 of the family's 1533-position model. The record is from RNAcentral.
CCUACGGGUGGCAGCAGUGAGGAAUAUUGGUCAAUGUGCGCAAGGCUGAACCAGCCAAGUAGCGUGAAGGAUGACUGCCCUACGGGUUGUAAACUUCUUUUAUAAGGGAAUAAAGUGUAGCACGUGUGCCUUUUUGUAUGUACUUUAUGAAUAAGGAUCGGCUAACUCCGUGCCAGCAGCCGCGGUAAUACGGAGGAUCCGAGCGUUAUCCGGAUUUAUUGGGUUUAAAGGGAGCGUAGGUGGUUUGUUAAGUCAGUUGUGAAAGUUUGCGGCUCAACCUGAAAAUUGCAAUUGAUACUGGCAGUCUUGAGUACAGUAGAGGUAGGCAGAAUUCGUGGUGUAGCGGUGAAAUGCUUAGAUAUCACGAAGAACUCCGAUUGCGAAGGCAGCUUACUAAACUGCAACUGACAUUGAGGCGCGAAAGUGUGGGUAUCAAACAGGAUUAGAUACCCGAGUAGUC